Long non-coding RNA from Hippoglossus stenolepis (Pacific halibut), 304 nucleotides. RefSeq lists it as uncharacterized. NCBI's taxonomy places the organism in Eukaryota, Metazoa, Chordata, Actinopteri, Pleuronectiformes, Pleuronectidae. The record is from RefSeq and is a predicted model, not a curated record. The transcript is spliced from 4 exons.
GUGUCCAGUCUGCAGAAACCAGUGUGUCCAGUCUGCAAGAACCAGUGUGUCCAAGAAUCCCCAACACCGAGCUGCUGGGUUUCUGCAGGGUUCCUAUCUGGUGACUGGGUCUAGAAGGACUAAACAACAGAGCUCCUGCUAAUAGAUCGUCAACAGCCUGACGCCCCAAACGUUUCUUUACCAGCAGAUCUGUGAAGAGCCCUGCUGCUACAAGCACCUUCACACCCAACUCAGGACCCUCCCUCUUUCAGAAGCAGCAACAUACCUUCACUCCGCUCUCCAGACGUCCAUCUAUCGAAACAGU